Molecule: microRNA precursor, 90 nt
Organism: Ophiophagus hannah (king cobra)
Lineage: Eukaryota; Metazoa; Chordata; Lepidosauria; Squamata; Elapidae
Rfam family: mir-7 microRNA precursor family
About the family: This family represents the microRNA (miRNA) precursor mir-7. In this case the mature sequence comes from the 5' arm of the precursor.
Source: Rfam
UGGCCUGCUUCUGAUUGGAAGACUAGUGAUUUUGUUGUUGUGGUGUAGAAAAGCGACAACAAAUCACAGCCUACCAUCCAGCAGGGGCCC